AUUGAACGCUGGCGGCAUGCUUUACACAUGCAAGUCGAACGGUAACAGGCCGCCAGGUGCUGACGAGUGGCGAACGGGUGAGUAAUGCAUCGGAACGUGCCCAGUCGUGGGGGAUAACUACUCGAAAGAGUAGCUAAUACCGCAUACGAUCUAUGGAUGACAGCGGGGGACCGUAAGGCCUCGCGCGAUUGGAGCGGCCGAUGUCAGAUUAGGUAGUUGGUGGGGUAAAGGCUCACCAAGCCAACGAUCUGGAGCUGGUCUGAGAGGACGACCAGCCACACUGGGACUGAGACACGGGCCAGACUCCUACGGGAGGCAGCAGUGGGGAAUUUUGGACAAUGGUCGCAAGCCUGAUCCAGUAAUGCCGCGUGCAGGAAGAAGGGCUUCGGGUUGUAAACUGCUUUUGUACGGAACGAAACUGUUCUGGUUAAUACCCGGGGCUAAUGACGGUACCGUAAGAAUAAGCACCGGCUAACUCCGUG
Molecule: ribosomal RNA, 482 nt
Filed under: uncultured bacterium
Lineage: Bacteria
Description: partial 16S ribosomal RNA
Rfam family: Bacterial small subunit ribosomal RNA
Source: RNAcentral